This 440-nucleotide ribosomal RNA is filed under the name uncultured bacterium. RNAcentral's name for it is "partial 16S ribosomal RNA". It matches the Rfam family "Bacterial small subunit ribosomal RNA", at positions 338 to 795 of the family's 1533-position model. The record is from RNAcentral.
CCUACGGGAGGCAGCAGUGGGGAAUAUUGCACAAUGGGGGAAACCCUGAUGCAGCGACGCCGCGUGAGCGAUGAAGUAUCUCGGUAUGUAAAGCUCUAUCAGCAGGGAAGAAAAUGACGGUACCUGACUAAGCAGCCCCGGCUCACUACGUGCCAGCAGCCGCGGUAAUACGUAGGGGGCAAGCGUUAUCCGGAUUUACUGGGCGUAAAGGGAGCGUAGACGGCGGUGCAGGCCAGAUGUGAAAGCCCGGGGCUCAACCCCGGGACUGCAUUUGGAACUGUGCUGCUAGAGUGUCGGAGAGGCAGGCGGAAUUCGUAGUGUAGCGGUGAAAUGCGUAGAUAUUAGGAGGAACACCAGUGGCGAAGGCAGCCUGCUGGACGAUGACUGACGUUGAGGCUCGAAAGCGUGGGGAGCGAACAGGAUUAGAUACCCCUGUAGUC